UAGUAAUGAAUGGAAUUCUUUUUUAAGCCCUGCUUUUGGAGUCUAUUUCAUGCCUUUUUACAUUUCAUAUUAUAUUUAUAUUUUUUUAAAUCAUGACUAUACCACAUUAUAAAAACCUAUUCAGUCAAAUAAUAAUCCUAUUCCUUGGCUGCCCGUCAGGGAAAUGAAGGUUUCUCAAAGAGUGAUUUGCCCAAGGCCAGCAAAGGCUGAAUAUCAGAGAAGGAUGAUCCCAAAGGUAGACCCAGCUUAAUGAGGACAGACGUCUGUUGGGGCUUCAUUUUGGAGAGGCCCUUCAGGGUAAGAAGUGACAACUGCUUUGUGAAGUGGCAUGCCACCAACACUCACAAAUCACAUGCAAGAGUGACACUCCUGACCUCAAGUCACCAGCUGAUCAGAUUCAGGGGCAAGACAAGGGCACAGAUCUUCUGAGGCUGAAAAACCAUCUGUUCACCCCAUCUGGGAGGAGCCCCAAGCCCUUAAUGAUCACAUGUGGGCAGCUCCAGAGACCAAAAGAGGGGACAGAUCCAGAUCUGAAGGGGGCACAGAAUGAGUUAUCAGUCAGAAGCAAAGAGUGGGAGAUGAAGGGAACAUGCUGAGUGUCUAUCGCCAGCCUGGAUUCUCAUGCCAGGGCCACAGAGGUCCUGAUACCAGAAGCUGGGAUGAGCUUGCAGGUUGUGUAUGAAGUUACUGCUUGAUGCCACCAAGCACUGAAACAGGCAAGUAAGAGGGGGAGCCUGUAAAGAUGGAAAUGCGGCAUCUCCCAACCCCCAUCCCACUUUCAGAAGUUUUAACAGAUGUCCUUUCCACUUUUUUCUUGGGAAUGCCUCAGGAUUCUUAAUUUUCUCGAAUGGGCAACUUUCCCCACCACCUACGUGUUCUUUCUGGAUUCCAAUCUGCUGCUUCUCCGUGGGGUUCUUUCUGUUCUUUUUUUUCUCUUGCUGACCUUUGUCCUCCCAAAUGUUAUCACUCAGAGAAGUCCCCCUCCACAAACUUCCCCACUUCAGUGUGCUCUGCCCCCAGGCCCUGGGCUAAGCACCAGAUGCGGAACACUGACCAAGAUGAAAAACAGUCCCAGGCCAACCUGACUCACAGCGUCAGGCAUUAAACAAGAAGCCUCACUGCUCCCAUCAGCAACACCUUCUGGCCCCCGAUUUUACUGUCUCUGUUGUUUACCUUGCCCUGAUCUAACAGACUUAAAGGUAUAGGUUGCUGGGGCUGGCAGGGCCUGAGAGGUCAAAGCCCUAUUUGUGCCCAGGGCUGGCUGGCAUUUGAUGGGGUGGCACCGGUAGGGUCCCAUUGGUUGCUUACAGUCAGCUCUGCUUACCCAGCCCAGUGCUGUAACAGCUUCCGUCUGAACACCCCUCCUGCUGGCUUCACCAUGAAGGAGAUCAACCAACCAAAGCCUGAGAUCAUGAGACAGCCAUGCCCAGAGCCAGACCCCUCCAUGCUUUUCCCACUUCUGGUGUCUUCAGGGCCCUAGCUCCCUCAGAGCUCUUGGGGAAUGAAAAGUUUUGCCCAACUGAAGGAUGUUCCUUUGCUGAUGCUCGGAGGCUUCCCUUCCUUUUUGUGGCCUUGUUCCUACAACCAAGGCAAAUCCAAUCAGCAGUACCAUCCUUGUUGCAUCUUGUUCUCUUUGUGGGGGGCUUCCUGGCUUCUGGGCUGCUCUCCAUCUGGUUCCAAAGUCCCAAGCCUUCAGAGAGAGCAGUCAUACUGCCUGAAGUUUAAAUCAACUGUGCAAUUUGCUCUCUAGAACCCAGUUCUGCAGAUACUCUGUAUAGCCUUUCCUUCCUCCUCGCAUAUGAGAAACCCAUGGUUUUGUGACUGUGAUCUCUCUGCCCUCUCUUCCAGAUAUUUCUGGAGUCCAUUUCCAGCUGCCAGCUAGCCCUUUGUCCACUUCCCGGCAUGUGCUCAGUCAAUACAAUGAAGACGAUGAGCCGACAGUGCACGUGGUGGCGACCGUGUUGCCCCGGAUUGCUCUGGACUCCGUCUUCCUUCACACACUUCCCUCUUCAUUACCCUCAGCAUUUGAACUGCCUCCUUGAAGAGAAGGGCGAGGAAACUUAACUUUAUGAACCAGACACUAAGAUGCAUCUUUUCAACAAGAAAAUAGAGUAGCUGUUUCCCUAUAUCAAAAGCAUCAACUAUCCAGGCAACAUCUUCUUCUCUCUGCUCUAUAUGUUAUGUCUUCUCUAACAAAAGCAGUUAUUGUUUCAUGUUCUCAGACCUAAGGUGGAGAAAACUGAAGAGACAGAACUUCAGAUCCUGUCAUUUCUCAGAAGCCAUGAGUCAGAGAUGGAAGAACCAGCAAAGAGCUCUGAACCGUAGACUGAAUUUCACACGUACAUUUAUACAUGGCCCAGUUCUAACUGUCUCUAGAUAUUUCUUGGGUAGAACUAUCUAUACAAGACAACAGCUAACUGCAGAGCUCAUCAAAAUCAGGCAUUGUGCCUUUCAUUUCAUAUGCAUCCAUGGUUGUACCCGGUAAGACACUGAUGUUACAAA
Callithrix jacchus (white-tufted-ear marmoset) is the source of this 2502-nucleotide long non-coding RNA. RefSeq lists it as uncharacterized. The record is from RefSeq and is a predicted model, not a curated record. NCBI's taxonomy places the organism in Eukaryota, Metazoa, Chordata, Mammalia, Primates, Cebidae.